This 2442-nucleotide ribosomal RNA is filed under the name Triticum aestivum (bread wheat). RNAcentral describes it as "partial small subunit ribosomal RNA". Lineage: Eukaryota; Viridiplantae; Streptophyta; Magnoliopsida; Poales; Poaceae. The record is from RNAcentral.
AUGGGCAGCAACCAUGAGGCGCACCACGAGGACUUCCAGCUCAAGGACACGAACCCGCUGCUGGGCGAGCAAUGGCCCAAGGGCGCGGCGGGGCCGGCGCGGCCCGCCGUGGGCGGCGGCAUCGCGGGGUGGCUGGGCAUGGACAAGCCGUCCAGCACGUACGACCUGGUGGAGCAGAUGUUCUUCCUCUACGUGCGCGUGGUGAAGGCCAAGGACCUGCCCCCCAACCCCAUCACCGGCGCGCCCAUGGACCCCUACGUGGAGGUGAAGCUGGGCAACUACAAGGGCACCACCAAGCACCGCACCAACCCAGAGUGGGACCAGGUCUUCGCCUUCUCCAAGUCCCGCGUCCAGUCCAACGCUCUCGAGGUCUACCUCAAGGACCGCGACAUGCUCGGCCGCGACGACUACGUCGGCCGCGUCCUCUUCGACCUCGCCGAGGUGCCCACCCGCGUGCCGCCCGACAGCCCGCUCGCCCCGCAGUGGUACCGCCUCGAGCAGCGCCGCGGCGGCGACGCCGGCUACAAGGUGCGCGGGGAGCUCAUGCUCGCCGUCUGGAUCGGCACCCAGGCCGACGAGGCCUUCCCCGAGGCCUGGCACUCGGACGCCGCCACCGUGCGCGGCGAGGGCGUCGCCAGCGUCCGCUCCAAGGCCUACGUCUCGCCCAAGCUCUGGUACCUCCGCGUCAACGUCAUCGAGGCGCAGGACGUGCAGCCGCAGUCCCGCGGCCGCGCCCCCGAGGUCUUCGUCAAGGCGCAGGUCGGCAACCAGAUCCUCAAGACCUCCGUCGUGCCCGCCGCCACGCUCAACCCGCGCUGGAACGAGGACCUGCUCUUCGUCGUCGCCGAGCCGUUCGAGGAGCAGCUGGUGAUGACGGUCGAGGACCGGGUGUCGCCGCGCAAGGACGACCUCCUCGGCCGCGUCCAGCUCCCGCUCACGCUCUUCGAGAAGCGCCUCGACCACCGCCCGUUCGUGCAGUCCCGGUGGUUCGACCUCGAGAAGUUCGGCAUCGGGGGCGCCAUCGAGGGCGAGACACGGCGGGAGCUCCGCUUCGCCAGCCGCGUCCACGUCCGAGCCUGCCUCGAGGGCGCGUACCACGUCAUGGACGAGUCCACCAUGUACAUCAGCGACACCCGCCCCACGGCGCGGCAGCUCUGGAAGCCGCCCGUCGGCGUGCUCGAGGUCGGCAUCCUCAGCGCCAUCGGCCUGCAGCCGAUGAAAAAACUGGAAGGCCGGGGAAGCACCGACGCCUACUGCGUCGCCAAGUAUGGGCAGAAGUGGGUGCGCACGCGCACCAUGAUCGGCACCUUCAGCCCGACGUGGAACGAGCAGUACACGUGGGAGGUGUUCGACCCCAGCACCGUCAUCACCAUCGGCGUCUUCGACAACUGCCACCUCGGCGGCGGCAACGGAAACAACGGCGGAGGAGGUGCAGGAGGAGGAGGAGGGCCUCCGGCGAGGGACGCACGCAUCGGCAAGAUCCGCAUCCGCCUGUCCACGCUGGAAACCGACCGUGUGUACACGCACGCGUACCCGCUGAUCCUGCUGACGCCGUCGGGGGUGAAGAAGAUGGGCGAGCUCCGGCUGGCCGUGCGCUUCACCUGCCUCUCCAUGAUGAACAUGGUGCACCUCUACACGCAGCCGCUGCUCCCCAAGAUGCACUACCUGCACCCCUUCACGGUCACGCAGCUCGACGCGCUCCGCUACCAGGCCAUGGGCAUCGUGGCGGCGCGGCUGGGCCGCGCGGAGCCGCCGCUGCGGCGGGAGGUGGUGGAGUACAUGCUGGACGUGGAGUCCCACAUGUGGAGCAUGCGCCGGAGCAAGGCCAACUUCUUCCGCGCCGUCUCGCUCUUCUCCGGCGCCGCCGCCGCCGCGCGCUGGUUCGCCGAUGUCUGCCACUGGAAGAAUGUGGCCACCACCGCGCUCGUCCACGUCCUCCUCCUCAUCCUCAUCUGCUACCCGGAGCUCAUCCUCCCCACCGUCUUCCUCUACAUGUUCAUGAUCGGGCUCUGGAACUACCGCCGCCGCCCGCGCCACCCUCCCCACAUGGACACCAAGAUGUCCUGGGCCGAGGCCGUGCACCCGGACGAGCUCGACGAGGAGUUCGACACCUUCCCGACGUCCAGGCAGCAGGACGUCGUCUACAUGCGCUACGACCGGCUGCGCAGCGUCGCCGGCAGGAUACAGACCGUCGUCGGCGACAUGGCCACGCAGGGGGAGCGGCUGCAGUCGCUGCUCAGCUGGCGCGACCCCAGGGCGUCCUGCCUCUUCGUCUUCUUCUGCCUCAUCGCCGCGGUCGUGCUCUACGUCACGCCGUUCCGGGUCGUCGCGCUCGUCGCCGGGCUCUUCCUGCUCCGGCACCCGCGGUUCCGAACCAAGCUGCCCGCCGUGCCAAGCAACUUCUUCCGGCGACUGCCGUCGCGGGCGGAUAGCAUGCUCUGA